UACGGGGGGGGUAAGCGUUGUUCGGAAUUACUGGGCGUAAAGCGCGCGUAGGCGGCUUUGCAAGCCGGAUGUGAAAUCCCCGGGCUUAACCUGGGAACUGCAUUCGGGACUGCAUUGCUAGAGUAUGGGAGAGGGAAGUGGAAUUUCAGGUGUAGCGGUGAAAUGCGUAGAUAUCUGAAGGAACAUCAGUGGCGAAAGCGACUUCCUGGACCAAUACUGACGCUCAUGUGCGAAAGCGUGGGGAGCAAACAGG
RNAcentral lists this ribosomal RNA (253 nucleotides) under uncultured bacterium. RNAcentral describes it as "partial 16S ribosomal RNA". It matches the Rfam family "Bacterial small subunit ribosomal RNA", at positions 524 to 776 of the family's 1533-position model. The record is from RNAcentral.